AGAGCCGGGAAACGGUGUCGUUUACUGGGUGUGGUCAGGUUGGGCCACGUCACCAAUUUCAAUUCUGCACAAGUCGUUUAAGUUCUGAAGAAAGAAGACGAUGACAGGGCAGCUGACCAUUUGAACAAGAGCGAAAAUAAUACAGUGGAAUUUGAAUCUAAAGAUCGAAGCUUUUGCAUUUGGGUCGGAAAAAGUUGAAGUCUUUGAGCAGAAAAAGCAUGGCCAGUUGCUGGGUAAGGAGUCCGCAGCCGCAUCCCAAUCUCCACCCUCAUCGAUCUUUCAGUAAGCGGCUGCUGAUUCAGCCGCAGAGCCGCGUCCUCAGCCUCUCGAAUUCUCAGCGCCGUCGUCGGAGCAGAAUCUGCUGCAACUACGACGACGAAACGACCAGGAGACAAUCACAACCACCAAGUCCACAGGGUCCACAACCAACUGGGAUUCAGCUCUACUCUGAGAUUGAGAGAUUACUUACAGAGACAGUGAGGCAAGCCCAAGGUCGUUGGGAUGGUACAGGCGACUGGACUCAAGUUGAGGGAGCAUGGGUUCUCAAACCGAGAAACUCAGAACCCAAGGCCGUUGUACAUUUUAUUGGUGGCAUAUUUGUUGGAGCCGCCCCUCAGCUUACCUACCGUUUGUUUCUUGAGCGCCUCUCAGAAAAGGGUAUUUUGGUGAUUGCAACACCAUAUGCUAGUGGAUUUGAUCACUUCUUCAUUGCAGAUGAAACCCAAUUCAAAUUUGAUAGGUGUUAUCGAUUUCUUAAAGAGACGGUUCAAGAUCUUCCUACUUUCGGCAUUGGCCACUCUUUGGGAUCUGUCAUCCACCUUUUGAUCGGUUCAAGAUAUGCUGUUCAAAGAAAUGGGAAUGUGCUGAUGGCAUUCAAUAACAAGGAGGCAAGCUCAACUAUUCCUCUGUUCUCACCUGUUGUCGUUCCAGUUGCUCAAGGCCUUGGACCAAUUUUAUCACAGAUUGCAUCAUCACCAACAAUCCGCCUAGGGGCAGAAAUGACUUUGAAGCAAUUCGAAAACCUUAGCCCUCCCAUCAUGAAGCAAGUUCUUCCUUUAGUUGAGCAGCUCCCUCCACUGUAUAUGGACUUAGUUAAUGGAAGAGAAUAUUUUGCUCCAAAACCAGAAGAAACUCGGCGACUAGUAAAAUCUUACUACGGUAUUUCCCGGAAUCUUCUGGUGAAGUUCAGGGAUGAUAUGAUCGACGAGACUUCAACUUUGGCACAGUUGCUAAUUUCAAAUUCAGGCCAUCAGUUCUAUGCUAGACAUGUCAAUUCGCUUAUUACCCUGGAGAUCACGGGCUUCCUUUGCAACAGGCUCUCCCAGAUGUGCCUCCGGCAAUGGCAGAUGCAGUAAAUCGCGGAAGUGAGAUGUUGGCUAAUCUUACUGUAGGGACACCAUGGGAGACCGUUGCCAAAGAAGUAGGCAGCACUUGGGGUGUAGAGUCAAAGGUACUUCGUGCAGAAGCAUCAAAAGACUUAGGCCUGCUUGUUGAUGUGAUUGCGUCGUGGAUAACUUCAAAUGCAGGUCCAACGCUCUUGAAGCCGUGAUGAGUUGGACCAAAUAAUAGCAUACAAAUCAGACCAAAGUUUUUAUCUCGCUGAGACAAGGACAUGGUUUUCGAUAGGACGACGAAAAGAAAUGAAAUGGAAAUAAAAUCUUGUUCAUAUUCAUGUAAUUUCAAAGAUGUUCAGGUAUAGGUAGAAGUAACCAAAACGUGUGUAAAUGUACAUUUGCUGGGUUGUAAGUUGUAGCAGAAGCAGCUUUUCUCUAAAGAAGAAAAAUAGUUGUAACAUAAACAAGCAUCGGAAACAAGGAUAAUGAUAGUUUACUGUUACUAUUGA
This is an RNA transcript of Pyrus x bretschneideri (Chinese white pear), 1843 nucleotides long. RefSeq lists it as uncharacterized. The record is from RefSeq and is a predicted model, not a curated record. The transcript has 10 exons. Lineage: Eukaryota; Viridiplantae; Streptophyta; Magnoliopsida; Rosales; Rosaceae.